Molecule: ribosomal RNA, 1207 nt
Filed under: metagenome
Description: bacterial SSU rRNA
Rfam family: Bacterial small subunit ribosomal RNA
Source: RNAcentral
CGGCCACAUUGGGACUGAGAUACGGCCCAGACUCCUACGGGAGGCAGCAGUAGGGAAUUUUGCGCAAUGGACGAAAGUCUGACGCAGCGACGCCGCGUGAGCGAUGAAGGCCUUCGGGUCGUAAAGCUCUGUUGAGUGGGAAGAAAAAGUCUAUGGCUAAUAUCCAUAGGCCCUGACGGUACCAUUCGAGGAAGCCCCGGCUAACUACGUGCCAGCAGCCGCGGUAAUACGUAGGGGGCAAGCGUUGUUCGGAAUCACUGGGCGUAAAGGGAGUGUAGGCGGAAUGAUAAGUUGGGAGUUAAAUUCACAGGCUCAACCUGUGGUCUGCUUUCAAUACUGUCAUUCUUGAGUAUGGGAGAGGGUAACGGAAUUCCAGGUGUAGCGGUGGAAUGCGUAGAUAUCUGGAAGAACACCGGUUGCGAAGGCGGUUACCUGGCCCAAUACUGACGCUGAGGCUCGAAAGUGUGGGGAGCAAACAGGAUUAGAUACCCUGGUAGUCCACACCGUAAACGAUGGAUACUAGUUGCUGGGAGAGUCAAUCCUUUCGGCGACGAAGCUAACGCAUUAAGAAUCCCGCCUGGGGAGUACGCUCGCAAGGGUGAAACUCAAAGGAAUUGACGGGGGCCCGCACAAGCGGUGGAGCAUGUGCUUUAAUUCGAUGCAACGCGAAGAACCUUACCUGGGUUUGACAUGGGAAUGAAAGUUUCUAGAGAUAGAAGCCUUUCCUUCGGGAACAUUCUACACAGGUGCUGCAUGGUUGUCGUCAGCUCGUGUCGUGAGAUGUUGGGUUAAGUCCCGCAACGAGCGCAACCCCUGUCCUUAGUUGCCAUCAGGUAAUGCUGGGAACUCUAAGGAGACUGCUUGGAUUAACCAAGAGGAAGGUGGGGGUGACGUCAAAUCCUCAUGGCCCUUACGCCCAGGGCUAGACACGUGCUACAAUGGCCGGUACAACGGGCUGCAAGCCAGCGAUGGUUAGCUAAUCCCUUAAAACCGGUCUCAGUUCGGAUUGGAGUCUGCAACUCGACUCCAUGAAGGUGGAAUCGCUAGUAAUCGCGGAUCAGCAUGCCGCGGUGAAUACGUUCCCGGGCCUUGUACACACCGCCCGUCAAGCCAUGAAAGACGGUAGUGCCCGAAGUCGUUCCUCUAACCGCAAGGAAGAGUGCGCCGAAGGUAAGACUGUUAAUUGGGGCUAAGUCGUAACAAGGUA